CUUUUACUGCCCAGUCCCAUGACUGGCCCCUGCCAUGCUCCCAUUGGCUGUGCAGCCGGUUCCUGCGGCUGGGACCUCACUGUGUCCGUCUGAAGAAUGCUCUCCCCCUUGUUAGGAGCUGGGAAUGUCUGAGCUGAGAGCCCUGGUCCCUCCCAACCCAAAGCAUGAUUCAUUUCCCUGUAUCCCCCGGCCCGGGUGUCAUCUUACACUCCUUAUAUAGCCUGGGAGCCGGGGAGAGCUGGCAGGACUGGGAGCCUGUACUCCUUCCGCCUGCUGCCUUGGGUGAGACUGUGGGGGAGCAAGCUGGGGUGCAUGGAUCUCCCCUAGGAGCAGCUAGUGAUAGUGGGUGACCUUGUGCCCUCUCCUUACUGUAGAUACUUAGGAAGGGAGGGGCGGGUGAUUAAUCUGAGCAGAAUCCCUGUGUUUUCUCUAAUGCUCUAUAUGACAAGAUCUGGGUUUCAAAAGCUAUAGACCAGUUUUUAAGAGACCUUUAAUCCAACAGUGAUACCCCUUUAACACCCCCUCCUCCCCCUCAUGAACAGAGGGAGCCCCUAUAGAAACUUUUUUUGUGGGUAACUAACUAUAUUGUGGAGGUGUCUUAUCUAUGUUCUAACCUGCUUUAUUAUAAUUUUUUUUUUUUUUUUAAUCUGCAGUUUUGUGACAUGGAGGAUUACAAAGUAACUCUGGAUGGACCUGCUCCUUGGGGCUUCAGACUGCAGGGGGGCAAGGAUUUUAACAUGCCCCUUUCCAUUUCCAGGGUGAGUGAAUGACUACUGGC
Molecule: non-coding RNA, 778 nt
Organism: Pelobates cultripes (western spadefoot toad)
Lineage: Eukaryota; Metazoa; Chordata; Amphibia; Anura; Pelobatidae
Source: the annotation of a GenBank genome assembly